RNAcentral lists this ribosomal RNA (639 nucleotides) under Nabis limbatus. RNAcentral describes it as "partial large subunit ribosomal RNA". It matches the Rfam family "Eukaryotic large subunit ribosomal RNA", at positions 663 to 1266 of the family's 3401-position model. Lineage: Eukaryota; Metazoa; Arthropoda; Insecta; Hemiptera; Nabidae. RNAcentral also lists the same sequence under 1 other name. The record is from RNAcentral.
GGACCAAGGAGUUUAGCGUGUGCGCGAGUCAUUGGGUGGAAAACCUAAAGGCGGAAUGAAAGUAAAGGAAACUCGCUUUCUGAGGGAGGAUGGGUUACCUGCCUUUACAGGCGGUGCCCCGCACUCCCGGGGCGUCUCUUUCUCAUUACGAGUGGAGGCGCACCUAUAGCGUACACGCUGAUACCCGAAAGAUGGUGAACUAUGCCUGGCCAGGACGAAGCCAGGGGAAACCCUGGUGGAGGUCCGCAGCGAUUCUGACGUGCAAAUCGAUCGUCGGAGCUUGGUAUAGGGGCGAAAGACCAAUCGAACCAUCUAGUAGCUGGUUCCCUCUGAAGUUUCCCUCAGGAUAGCUUGCGCUCGGUUGAGACGAGUCUCAUCCGGUAGAGCGAAUGAUUAGAGGCCUUGGGGUCGAAACGACCUCAACCUAUUCUCAAACUCCAAAUAGAUGAGAUCCCCGGCUUGCUUGAAAGUGAAGCCGGGACUCGGAUCAGAGUGCCAAGUGGGCCAAUUUUGGUAAGCAGAACUGGCGCUGUGGGAUGAACCAAACGCAGAGUUAAGGCGCCUGAAUCGACGCUCAUGUGAAACCAUGAAAGGCGUUGGUUGCUUAAGACAGCAGGACGGUGGCCAUGGAAGUCGGAA